Lampris incognitus (smalleye Pacific opah) is the source of this 957-nucleotide long non-coding RNA. RefSeq lists it as uncharacterized. Lineage: Eukaryota; Metazoa; Chordata; Actinopteri; Lampriformes; Lampridae. The transcript has 3 exons. The record is from RefSeq and is a predicted model, not a curated record.
AUCGAACCAUCUGAUUGGACGACCACUGUACCCCCUGAGCCACAGCCGCCCUGAUUCUUAUUUUCAUGCAGUUAUAUGCUAAGAAAAACUGCAUCAAGCAUUGGAACAAGGUUUACGGCAGAGAACAGGCACCCAACGGAGAGACAAGUCUACCAUUAAUGCACCAAAGAUCCGGCUGAUUACUGGCAAUUUGGAGGAGGAUUCUUCUUUAUCUGCUACGUUGCACUGUCACUUCUGGUACAGAUUCAUUGACUUUUUGUAUGUUUUGAUUUUACUUAGUAGUACACUGCAUAUUUAAGGGUUAUAAAUCAAGAAUGUAAUGCUUGUCCACAAAUACUACAAAUAUUGUCAGAACGACAGUAUACAGAGCCGCCAAGGGUCAGGAGAAUAAUGUGGAAAACAAAACUGAAAUGGAAAAUACAAGCUAAAAAACAACAGACCACAACCCCCUCAGCCCAAAAGCUCUCCACCUGUUUCAAAGGUGAAAUCAUGACCUCAUCAUGAUAGUACUGUUAACAGACAAGAUACACAUAUGGAGAAAUAGAAUUUUUAGUUUUUCAACUCCCCCUCUGGGAUCUGAAGAACUGUUUGUGAAUAAUUGGUUGAUAUUGUAAAUUUACAACUCAAUACAUUAAAUAAAGGGGUUUUAGAAUCAACAGUUGUGUGUAUUUUAUUUGUGAUUAAGUUCCCCACCCUACUUUAAUUGAUAAUAAUUAACAGUGAAAAUAUUUAAGGUUUUUGUUUGACAAUCGUACCUGCCAGACAGACUGUUUUUUGAGGUGGUUUUUAACACUUAUUAAAAGUGUUUGAUCGUAAUAAUCUAUGAAAGAUCUGUAGAAUAAAGGUAUUUUUCUGUAGAACUUUUAGCAUCGUCACUUUAUUAAAAGUGUUUGAUUGUAAUAAUUAUGAAAAAUCUGUAAAAUAAAGGUACUGUUCUGCAGAGCAUUAAAUGAAAAU